GACGAACGCUGGCGGCGUGCUUAACACAUGCAAGUCGGACGGAAAGGCCCUGCUUUUGUGGGGUGCUCGAGUGGCGAACGGGUGAGUAACACGUGAGUAACCUGCCCUUGACUUUGGGAUAACUUCAGGAAACUGGGGCUAAUACCGGAUAGGAGCUCCUGCUGCAUGGUGGGCGUUGGAAAGUUUCGGCGGUUGGGGAUGGACUCGCGGCUUAUCAGCUUGUUGGUGGGGUAGUGGCUUACCAAUGCUUUGACGGGUAGCCGGCCUGAGAGGGUGACCGGCCACAUUGGGACUGAGAUACGGCCCAGACUCCUACGGGAGGCAGCAGUGGGGAAUAUUGCACAAUGGGAGGAAGCCUGAUGCAGCAACGCCGCGUGCGGGAUGACGGCCUUCGGGUUGUGAACCGCUUUCGCCUGUGACGAAGCGUGAGUGACGGUAAUGGGUAAAGAAGCACCGGCUAACUACGUG
Molecule: ribosomal RNA, 468 nt
Filed under: uncultured bacterium
Lineage: Bacteria
Description: partial 16S ribosomal RNA
Rfam family: Bacterial small subunit ribosomal RNA
Source: RNAcentral